RNAcentral lists this long non-coding RNA (144 nucleotides) under Bos indicus x Bos taurus (hybrid cattle). RNAcentral's name for it is "lncRNA (ENSBIXG00005008116.1)". The record is from RNAcentral. Lineage: Eukaryota; Metazoa; Chordata; Mammalia; Artiodactyla; Bovidae.
CAGAGCCCCAAGAGAUUCCCAAAGAAACUGCUGCUCUGAGGUUAUUCAUCUGAUGGGAAGACGCUGGUGAGAAAAGACAACAUUUCUGGUACUUCAGAGGUGACGAGGGUGAACUCAGCCCAAUAGGAGAGCUGACUCCAUGGU